AAGGCUUUAAGUUAAUUACUAAACUAAUAACCUUCAAAGAUAAAAAUAAAGAUUAUUCUUUAAGCCUUA
This 69-nucleotide transfer RNA is filed under the name Allacta australiensis. RNAcentral describes it as "tRNA-Trp". Lineage: Eukaryota; Metazoa; Arthropoda; Insecta; Blattodea; Pseudophyllodromiidae. The record is from RNAcentral.